GAUUCCAGAGCUGAAGAGGUGAGUCUUGAUGGCUGACCCAGAGACCUGAUGUCCCACAAGAAAGAAGAAUGGAGUGAAGAGGGCAAAAGGUGCAGUAAA
Non-coding RNA from Pseudonaja textilis, 99 nucleotides. NCBI's taxonomy places the organism in Eukaryota, Metazoa, Chordata, Lepidosauria, Squamata, Elapidae. The record is from RefSeq and is a predicted model, not a curated record.